CAUUAUUGUUUCACACUUCUUAUUUUCAGAUACAAUGAACAAGCAUGACCUUCAACACACGCGCGCGCACGCAUAACUAUUCAUAGGUAUAGCACCGGAAGUGAAUGCCAUUCAUCAACGCCUCAUGCCCUCAUCUAUCAGGGGGAGUACAACCUGAUCCUGGAGGUCUCGGAGGGUUUGGCGAUUCACAAUCUGCAACAGCAGCAAACAAGCUCAGUCCAUGAUUGAAAACAAAAAAAAAAUUCAAGUCAUCAAACAAAUAGGAAGUUGACGGUUCUCACAUUCCGCAACGAUAGCAGAGCCCAUGACCAUCAAAACCACCACCCAGAAGCAGAAAACCGCAAGAAAGCGAGCACUUUUCAAACUUGUGCUCAUGGUUAGACGUGUUAUUUCUCUCCGCGUUCAGGGCAUCGUCAGUUCGGUGCUGAACUGGGAUAGCC
This 440-nucleotide long non-coding RNA is filed under the name Setaria viridis. RNAcentral describes it as "long non-coding RNA (SVIR_LNC000080)". Lineage: Eukaryota; Viridiplantae; Streptophyta; Magnoliopsida; Poales; Poaceae. The record is from RNAcentral.